GUGACUUUUAAUGUUUAACGGCCGCGGUAUUUUGACCGUGCAAAGGUAGCGCAAUCACUUGUCUUUUAAAUGGAGACCUGUAUGAAUGGCAUCACUAGGGCUUAACUGUCUCCUUUCUCAGGCCAGUGAAAUUGAUCUCCCCGUGCAGAAGCGGGGAUGAAAACAUAAGACGAGAAGACCCUAUGGAGCUUUAGACACCAAGGCAGCUCACGUCAAGAGCCUUAAGACAAAAGAUUGAACUACAUGAGUCACUGUCCCAAUGUCUUCGGUUGGGGCGACCCUGGGGAGAUAAAGAACCCCCAUGAGGACUGGAGAAUAUUCUCCAAAACUGAGAGCUUCCGCUCUAAGAAGCAGACACUUCUGACCAUCAAGAUCCGGCAACGCCGAUCAACGGACCGAGUUACCCUAGGGAUAACAGCGCAAUCCCCUUCUAGAGCCCCUAUCGACAAGAGGGUUUACGACCUCCAUGUUGGAUCAGGACAUCCUAAUGGUGCAGCCGCUA
RNAcentral lists this ribosomal RNA (502 nucleotides) under Thalassoma cupido. Its description in RNAcentral is "partial 16S ribosomal RNA". It matches the Rfam family "Bacterial large subunit ribosomal RNA", at positions 1866 to 2564 of the family's 2925-position model. Lineage: Eukaryota; Metazoa; Chordata; Actinopteri; Labriformes; Labridae. The record is from RNAcentral.